CCUACGGGUGGCAGCAGUGAGGAAUAUUGGUCAAUGGACGAGAGUCUGAACCAGCGAAGUAGCGUGAAGGAUGACUGCCCUAUGGGUUGUAAACUUCUUUUAUAUGGGAAUAAAAUGUUCCACGUGUGGGAUUUUGUAUGUACCAUAUGAAUAAGGAUCGGCUAAAUCCGCGCCAGCAGCCGCGGUAAUACGGAGGAUCUGAGCGUUAUCCGGAUUUAUUGGGUGUAAAGGGAGCGUAGGUGGAUUGUUAAGUCAGUUGUGAAAGUUUGCGGCUCAACCGUAAAAUUGCAGUUGAAACUGGCAGUCUUGAGUACAGUAGAGGUAGGCGGAAUUCGUGGUGUAGCGGUGAAAUGCUUAGAAAUCACGAAGAACUCCGAUUGCGAAGGCAGUUCACUGGACUGCAACUGACACUGAGGCUCGAAAGUGUGGGUAUCAAACAGGAUUAGAUACCCCUGUAGUC
Molecule: ribosomal RNA, 460 nt
Filed under: uncultured bacterium
Lineage: Bacteria
Description: partial 16S ribosomal RNA
Rfam family: Bacterial small subunit ribosomal RNA
Source: RNAcentral